GCCUCUGUAGCUCAGUUGGUUAGAGCGCUGUACCGGAAUCGCAGGGUCGCAGGUUCGACUCCUGCCUCCUCGGGCC
This is a non-coding RNA of Paramuricea clavata, 76 nucleotides long. Lineage: Eukaryota; Metazoa; Cnidaria; Anthozoa; Malacalcyonacea; Plexauridae. The record is from the annotation of a GenBank genome assembly.